GGAGCAAUAGGGAAGGAUUCUAAUCCAGCUUAGGGAAAGAAACCUGCCACAGGAGUCUUGGAGAGUGGCGACCAUCCUAAUGACUUA
RNAcentral lists this microRNA precursor (87 nucleotides) under Equus caballus (horse). RNAcentral describes it as "mir-9014 microRNA precursor family". It matches the Rfam family "mir-9014 microRNA precursor family". The record is from Rfam by way of RNAcentral. Lineage: Eukaryota; Metazoa; Chordata; Mammalia; Perissodactyla; Equidae.